AUACGUAGGGUGCAAGCGUUAAUCGGAAUUACUGGGCGUAAAGCGUGCGCAGGCGGUUCGGAAAGAAGGAUGUGAAAUCCCAGGGCUCAACCUUGGAACUGCAUUCUUAACUACCGAACUAGAGUAUGUCAGAGGGGGGUAGAAUUCCGCGUGUAGCAGUGAAAUGCGUAGAUAUGCGGAGGAAUACCGAUGGCGAAGGCAGCACCCUGGGAUAAUACUGACGCUAAUGCACGAAAGCGGGGGUAGCAAACAGGAUUAGAUACCCUGGUAGUCCACGCCCUAACCGAUGUCAACUAGCUGUUGGGCCGUUCGGGGCUUAGUAGCGUAGCUAACGCGUGAAGUUGACCGCCUGGGGAGUACGGUCGCAAGAUUAAAACUCAAAUGAAUUGACGGGG
Molecule: ribosomal RNA, 395 nt
Filed under: uncultured bacterium
Lineage: Bacteria
Description: partial 16S ribosomal RNA
Rfam family: Bacterial small subunit ribosomal RNA
Source: RNAcentral